RNAcentral lists this transfer RNA (72 nucleotides) under Ictidomys tridecemlineatus (thirteen-lined ground squirrel). Its description in RNAcentral is "Spermophilus tridecemlineatus (thirteen-lined ground squirrel) tRNA". It matches the Rfam family "tRNA". Rfam says of the family: Transfer RNA (tRNA) molecules are approximately 80 nucleotides in length. Their secondary structure includes four short double-helical elements and three loops (D, anti-codon, and T loops). Further hydrogen bonds mediate the characteristic L-shaped molecular structure. tRNAs have two regions of fundamental functional importance: the anti-codon, which is responsible for specific mRNA codon recognition, and the 3' end, to which the tRNAs corresponding amino acid is attached (by aminoacyl-tRNA synthetases). tRNAs cope with the degeneracy of the genetic code in two manners: having more than one tRNA (with a specific anti-codon) for a particular amino acid; and 'wobble' base-pairing, i.e. permitting non-standard base-pairing at the 3rd anti-codon position. Lineage: Eukaryota; Metazoa; Chordata; Mammalia; Rodentia; Sciuridae. The record is from Rfam by way of RNAcentral.
GGGAGUGCAGCUCAGUGGUAGAGCAUUUGCCUAGCAUGUCUAGUGCCCUGGGUUCAAUCCCCAAUAUUUCUA